This 2866-nucleotide unclassified non-coding RNA is filed under the name Hevea brasiliensis (rubber tree). The record is from RNAcentral. Lineage: Eukaryota; Viridiplantae; Streptophyta; Magnoliopsida; Malpighiales; Euphorbiaceae.
ACUAUUUUUUUGUUCCUCGGACAAGAGCAAGGUGGUUGAAUACAACUUAGGUCUCAAAUCUCGGAAAUCAACAGCUUCAGUCUCAGAUCUUGGAUAAGACAAAGGUCGAAGGCUGUAGAUUUGAUUGGACAAGGGCAGAUUGAGUUUACUCCAUUUUCAACCGACAUGGAAAGUUUCGUCGUUCUCCCUUGUUUUCCUCGCCGUCGCUGUGUGUGGUGAGUUUGCUUUCUCUAUAAAGGGAUUUUCCUUAUAUAAGCUGUGAAAUUCGUACAUAGGUGGUGCGCAUUAAGUUCUGUAAAGUACUGUUCUGGUAUGGAUACUGAUGGAGCUUUUAAAUGGGUAGACCAAUUGCAGGUAACCUACGCCUAAUGAAUAAUUAGAACCAUUGCUAGAAUGAUUUAUUGAGUAAUUUUUAAUCAACUAUUUGCUUGAAAAUUGUAGCUUUUGUUUUUUUUUUAAUAUGCAUUGCAUUUGUGAUUUCAAUUGGCAAUAUUAAUACUUUUGUUCAAUAUGGAGUUUAGCCUGUCAUUUUUAAUUUUAGAAGGUGUGCAACCUUAACUAGCUAGUCUCCAUUUUGAAUUGAUGCUUAAAGAAAAUGCCUCAUGAUCAAAUAUUGUAAAAUAGUAUGUUAUUUUUGGUGGUGGAGAUGGAGUGUUUAAAUACAACGGAUAGCUUCUUAAUUUAGGGCUUUAUGUUCAUUACUUGAUGAGCAUUUCAUCACUAAGAAUGAUGGAGCUGCUCUUAUCAGAAGUUUUGAACUGUCUAAGAUCAGUGCUGUACUAGCAUGCAAUUUGUAUUUCUCACAUGAGUAUCCCCCUUCCUUUAAAUAUUCAUUAUUUAAUAAAUAACAAACUAGCAGUUAAAGAACGCCCCUUUUUUAUUUUUGAAAAAAAAGUUUAUUUUAGUUUUUGAAGUUAUUUGCUUUUGUUUGGUGUUUUUGUUUUAAGAUAUGAUUUGUGGGAGCUUUGGUUUAUGGGUCUUUGUUGCUCCAAAUGGAUGGAAAGCUGAUCCGAUAAAAUUAUGAUCUGGCAUUCAUUUAUUAUUCUACAUAAAAGUCAUAUAUUCUCCCCAGCACUUGUCUAUUUUUAUAUAGUACAAUUAUAGAUCUGAAAAGGAAAAUAUUGCUUAAGAAUUUUAUCCAGACAGUAUGUAAAGGCUGGAGGGACACAUUUUCUUUUCUCAUAGCUUCUUCUGAUUCCUAUAUGUUCCCACCCUGAAGUCGGUGCUAAAAUGUACAACAUUUCUGAAAAGAAAUUUUGGGUGGCUGUUUGUCUUUGUUGUAUGAAUCAUUUUCUAGUUUCUCUUGUAAUUUCUCUUAUUACUUUAUCUUCAAAAAGUUACUAGACAAUGAUUCUAAAUGGAUGCACUAUGCCUCUUGGGAUUACAAUUGACUGCUUGGAGCUUCUAUUUUUAGCAAAUAAUUCCCUCUUUGAAUUACAAUAUUAAAAAAAUGAAUAUUUUAAAUUAAUCAUUAACUGCAUUUUGAAGAUUUUAUUAUAUGAAAUAAUAUUUUAAAUUCUCUCAUGAACUUUUUUCCUAAAAUUGUCUUCUUUUUUUAAUAAAAAACUUAGUUUUACCAUAUGUUUUAGUUAUUUAAAACAUUAAAAUCACUACUAUUAGAAUCUUAGGAGCAGCUGGAUUAAGUACAUAACAAAUUCAAAAGCUAUUUUGUAUGAUUUCUACCAUCUAAAAUUUUCCCAAAAGUUGAUUAAACUUUAACCAAGCUGUAGUUAUCUAUUUCACUUCACAUUUAAUCAUUUUUUUAAUAAUAAUAAAUAAUUAAAUUAGUUUGAAUUUUAUUUUGAUUACCAAUAAUUUCUUUUCCUUUCAAUAAAUUAAAUAUAUACAAAUUAAAUUGAUGGUCUAUGUAUCUUAAAUGGUGAACAUUUUCAUUCUAUAUAUCAUUUCAUUUCAUUGUUAUAUAAAUAGCAUGCAAAAUUUUUUUAGCAGAAUGUCAAACAACUCAAACUCAAAUGCGAUUGACUUAACUUCUCCUAUUGAUAACGCUUGUUCUAUUGCUUUUCUUUCUACUCAAGAUUUAUCUACAAGCCCAAUCAUGGAUGAUGCUACUAUAAAUGUUGAUGAGUCAAAUCAGAACAAAGAAAAAGAUAUCAUCGAGGCAAAUGAAGAGGAGGAAAAUCCAUUUGCUUAAAAGAAAAGGAAGCGAACAUCUAAGGUAUGGGUUGAGUUUAAAGAAGUUACUCUUCCUGAUGGAAUAAUAAAAGUAGAGUGCAUUCACUGUAAAAACCAACUGGGAGUUAACAAGAAUGGUGCCACAACACAUUUUCUUAGAAAUUUAAAGAUUUGUCCAAAAAGGAAAGUGAAUUUGAAAGGUCAAAAACUUAGUGUCACUACAACACUAGCUGAGACAAAAAGUGUGACUUCUGUAUAGAAUUUUAAAUAUGACCAUGCCAAGAUAAGAAAAAUCCUUGCCCAUAUGAUUCUUGUUCAUGAGUUGCCAUUUCUUUUUAUAGAGUAUGAGCUUUUCAAUUUGUUAAUGAGAACUGCAACUCCAUAUUAUCAAAAGAUUAGUUGUGCAACUAUAAGAAAGGAUUGUUUCUCUGCUUAUGAUAUUGAGAUUGUUUCUCCGCUUAUAAUAUUAAGAAAAAGAAAGUGAAGGAUUGGCUAAUGCAUAUUUACAAAGUUAGUGUGACCAAAGAUUUAUGGAAGUCAGGUCAGCAGGUUUCAUACAUAGUUGUUACUGCACACUUUAUGGACUCCAACUGGAAUUUGCAAAAGCAUACUUUGAACUUCUAUGAUGUUCCACCACCUCAUACAGGAGUUGUUAUAUGUGAUGUGCUGCAAAAAUGUUUAGCUGAAUGGGAAAUUGAAGAUAAGAUAUGGAUUGUUUUUGUUGAUAAUGCUG